AUUGAACGCUGGCGGCAGGCCUAACACAUGCAAGUCGAACGGUAACAGGAAACAGCUUGCUGUUUCGCUGACGAGUGGCGGACGGGUGAGUCAUGUCUGGGAAACUGCCUGAUGGAGGGGGAUAACUACUGGAAACGGUAGCUAAUACCGCAUAACGUCGCAAGACCAAAGAGGGGGACCCUCGGGCCUCUUGCCAUCGGAUGUGCCCAGAUGGGAUUAGCUUGUUGGUGGGGUAACGGCUCACCAAGGCGACGAUCCCUAGCUGGUCUGAGAGGAUGACCAGCCACACUGGAACUGAGACACGGUCCAGACUCCUACGGGAGGCAGCAGUGGGGAAUAUUGCACAAUGGGCGCAAGCCUGAUGCAGCCAUGCCGCGUGUAUGAAGAAGGCCUUCGGGUUGUAAAGUACUUUCAGCGGGGAGGAAGGGAGUAAAGUUAAUACCUUUGCUCAUUGACGUUACCCGCAGAAGAAGCACCGGCUAACUCCGU
This 489-nucleotide ribosomal RNA is filed under the name uncultured bacterium. RNAcentral's name for it is "partial 16S ribosomal RNA". It matches the Rfam family "Bacterial small subunit ribosomal RNA", at positions 30 to 506 of the family's 1533-position model. The record is from RNAcentral.